This 30-nucleotide non-coding RNA is filed under the name Homo sapiens (human). The record is from RNAcentral. Lineage: Eukaryota; Metazoa; Chordata; Mammalia; Primates; Hominidae.
UCCAGUACGGAGAGUGCCAGGCCAGCAGGU